RNAcentral lists this transfer RNA (68 nucleotides) under Marmota monax (woodchuck). Its description in RNAcentral is "tRNA.Ala". The record is from RNAcentral. Lineage: Eukaryota; Metazoa; Chordata; Mammalia; Rodentia; Sciuridae.
GGAUUGUGGCUCAGUGGUAGAGCGCUCGCACAGCACAUGCAAGGCCCUGGGUUCGAUCCUCAGCACCA